This 72-nucleotide transfer RNA is filed under the name Apaloderma vittatum (bar-tailed trogon). It matches the Rfam family "tRNA". Rfam says of the family: Transfer RNA (tRNA) molecules are approximately 80 nucleotides in length. Their secondary structure includes four short double-helical elements and three loops (D, anti-codon, and T loops). The record is from Rfam by way of RNAcentral. Lineage: Eukaryota; Metazoa; Chordata; Aves; Trogoniformes; Trogonidae.
GGCCAGUUAGCUCAGUUAGUUGAGUGUGGCGCUAACAAUGCCAAGGUCGCGGGUUUGAUUCCUGUUUGGUCU